UUCGACUAGGAUAACAUUUUCACUACUUGU
This 30-nucleotide non-coding RNA is filed under the name Mus musculus (house mouse). Lineage: Eukaryota; Metazoa; Chordata; Mammalia; Rodentia; Muridae. The record is from RNAcentral.